Molecule: non-coding RNA, 38 nt
Filed under: Trypanosoma brucei brucei
Lineage: Eukaryota; Euglenozoa; Kinetoplastea; Trypanosomatida; Trypanosomatidae
Source: RNAcentral
CAUCAAUUUGUUACGUUCUUUGAGUGAUUGUGAUAAUA